RNAcentral lists this ribosomal RNA (253 nucleotides) under uncultured Prevotella sp. RNAcentral describes it as "partial 16S ribosomal RNA". It matches the Rfam family "Bacterial small subunit ribosomal RNA", at positions 524 to 776 of the family's 1533-position model. Lineage: Bacteria; Pseudomonadati; Bacteroidota; Bacteroidia; Bacteroidales; Prevotellaceae. The record is from RNAcentral.
UACGGAGGAUCCGAGCGUUAUCCGGAUUUAUUGGGUUUAAAGGGAGCGUAGGCCGGUCUUUAAGCGUGCCGUGAAAUUUUGUGGCUCAACCAUGAGAGUGCGGCGCGAACUGGAGACCUUGAGUGCGCGGAAGGCAGGCGGAAUUCGUGGUGUAGCGGUGAAAUGCAUAGAUAUCACGCAGAACUCCGAUUGCGAAGGCAGCAUACCGGCGGCGAUCUGACGCUGAGGCACGAAAGCGUGGGGAGCAAACAGG